CUGCUGUGGGCAGCAGAAAUGUACGUGUCCGUCGAUACCGGCGGCUGUAAGGAUCAUGUGCUCUCCAGAGAUCGCAUCUGUAGAAGGUCCGGUGACCAGGUCAGGCGACACACCGUCCAUGACGUUUGGGUUGCCGGCUUUACCGAUUCCGGCGAUUUUGCCAUCUUUUACACCUACAUCGGCUUUUACGACUCCGAGCACGGGAUCGAUGAUGGUAACGUUGGUGAUCACCAAAUCGAGACUUCCCUGUUUCUCAGAACAUUCAUUGGCCAGGCCCAUGCCGUCGCG
RNAcentral lists this small RNA (288 nucleotides) under human gut metagenome. RNAcentral's name for it is "5' ureB small RNA". It matches the Rfam family "5' ureB small RNA". The record is from RNAcentral. RNAcentral also lists the same sequence under 1 other name.